Molecule: transfer RNA, 66 nt
Filed under: marine eukaryotic metagenome
Rfam family: tRNA
About the family: Transfer RNA (tRNA) molecules are approximately 80 nucleotides in length. Their secondary structure includes four short double-helical elements and three loops (D, anti-codon, and T loops).
Source: RNAcentral
CGGUAGCUCAGCUGGAUAGAGUGACGGACUUCGAAUCCGGAGGUCGCAGGUUCGAAUCCUGCUCGG